RNAcentral lists this ribosomal RNA (402 nucleotides) under uncultured bacterium. RNAcentral describes it as "bacterial SSU rRNA". It matches the Rfam family "Bacterial small subunit ribosomal RNA", at positions 355 to 774 of the family's 1533-position model. The record is from RNAcentral.
UCGGGAAUUUUGGGCAAUGGGCGAAAGCCUGACCCAGCAACGCCGCGUGAGGGAUGAAGUAUUUCGGUAUGUAAACCUCGAAAGAAUGGGAAGAAUAAAUGACGGUACCAUUUAUAAGCUCCGGCUAACUACGUGCCAGCAGCCGCGGUAAUACGUAGGGAGCAAGCGUUGUUCGGAUUUACUGGGCGUAAAGGGCGCGUAGGCGGCGCGGUAAGUCACUUGUGAAAUCUCUGAGCCUAACUCAGAACGGCCAAGUGAUACUGCUGUGCUAGAGUGCGGAAGAGGCGACCGGAAUUCUUGGUGUGGCGGUGAAAUGCGUAGAUAUCAAGAGGAACACCUGAGGCGAAGGCGGGUUGCUGGGCCGACACUGACGCUGAUGCGCGAAAGCCAGGGGAGCAAACG